GAGUCUGGCGGCGGCUCACACAUGCAGUCGAGCGGAACGAUACCAGCUUGCUGGUAGGCGUCGAGCGGCGGACGGGUGAGUAAUACUUAGGAAUCUACCUAGUAGUGGGGAUAGCUCGGGGAAACUCGAAUUAAUACCGCAUACGACCUACGGGAGAAAGGGGGCAGUUUACUGCUCUCGCUAUUAGAUGAGCCUAAGUCGGAUUAGCUAGAUGGUGGGGUAAAGGCCUACCAUGGCGACGAUCUGUAGCUGGUCUGAGAGGAUGAUCAGCCACACCGGGACUGAGACACGGCCCGGACUCCUACGGGAGGCAGCAGUGGGGAAUAUUGGACAAUGGGGGAAACCCUGAUCCAGCCAUGCCGCGUGUGUGAAGAAGGCCUUUUGGUUGUAAAGCACUUUAAGCAGUGAAGAAGACUCCUCGGUUAAUACCCGUGGACGAUGACAUUAGCUGUAGAAUAAGCACCGGCUAACUCUGUGCAGCAGCCGCGGUAAUACAGAGGGUGCAAGCGUUAAUCGGAAUUACUGGGCGUAAAGCGAGCGUAGGUGGCUUGAUAAGUCAGAUGUGAAAUCCCCGGGCUUAACCUGGGAACUGCAUCUGAAACUGUUAGGCUAGAGUAGGUGAGAGGAAGGUAGAAUUCCAGGUGUAGCGGUGAAAUGCGUAGAGAUCUGGAGGAAUACCGAUGGCGAAGGCAGCCUUCUGGCAUCAUACUGACACUGAGGCUCGAAAGCGUGGGUAGCAAACAGGAUUAGAUACCCUGGUAGUCCACGCCGUAAACGAUGUCUACUAGUCGUUGGGUCCCUUGAGGACUUAGUGACGCAGCUAACGCAAUAAGUAGACCGCCUGGGGAGUACGGCCGCAAGGUUAAAACUCAAAUGAAUUGACGGGGGCCCGCACAAGCGGUGGAGCAUGUGUUUAUUCGAUGCAACGCGAAGAACCUUACCUGGUCUUGACUAUCUAGAAUCCUGCAGAGAUGCGGGAGUGCCUUCGGAAUUAGAUUGCAGUG
Molecule: ribosomal RNA, 1004 nt
Filed under: uncultured bacterium
Lineage: Bacteria
Description: bacterial SSU rRNA
Rfam family: Bacterial small subunit ribosomal RNA
Source: RNAcentral